UAGGGAAUAUUGGGCAAUGGACGCAAGUCUGACCCAGCCACGCCGCGUGCAGGAAGAAGGCUCUCUGGGUCGUAAACUGCUUUUGUACGGGAAGAAAAAGCUCUUGCGAGAGUAAUUGACGGUACCGUAAGAAUAAGCAUCGGCUAACUCCGUGCCAGCAGCCGCGGUAAUACGGAGGAUGCGAGCGUUGUCCGGAUUUACUGGGUUUAAAGGGUGCGUAGGCGGAUAGAUAAGUCAGAGUUGAAAGGCAGUCGCUCAACGAUUGUAAGGCUUUGAUACUGUUUAUCUUGAGUGUAUUGGAGGCAGAUGGAACGGGUGGAGUAGCGGUGAAAUGCAUAGAUACCAUCCAGAACACCGAUUGCGAAGGCAUUCUGCUACGAUACAACUGACGCUGAGGCACGAAAGCGUGGGGAUCAAACAGGAUUAGAUACCCUGGUAGUCCACGCUGUAAACGAUGGUUACUCGAUGUUUGUCCAUUAGGAUAAGUGUCUAAGCGAAAGCGUUAAGUAACCCACCUGGGAGA
Molecule: ribosomal RNA, 523 nt
Filed under: uncultured bacterium
Lineage: Bacteria
Description: bacterial SSU rRNA
Rfam family: Bacterial small subunit ribosomal RNA
Source: RNAcentral